This 607-nucleotide unclassified non-coding RNA is filed under the name Hevea brasiliensis (rubber tree). Lineage: Eukaryota; Viridiplantae; Streptophyta; Magnoliopsida; Malpighiales; Euphorbiaceae. The record is from RNAcentral.
GUUUCUUAAUUGGCUGGCCUGUGAUAUAAAUCUUGAGCCUUUGACCAUUAACUUUAAAAAUCCCAGAAUUUUCACUCUAAAUAUCCAUAGCUCUAUGUGGAUAAACUUUGACGACCUUAAAAGGGCCAGACCAUCUUGAUUUCAACUUCCCAGGAAAGAGUCUAAGUCUAGAAUUAUACAAUAAAACUAGGUCACCCUCUUUAAACCCCUUUCUUUUAACAUACUUAUCAUACCAAAAUCUAGUCAUUUCCUUAAAAAUCCAAGCAUUCUCAUAUGCAUUCAGCCUUAUCUCUUUAAGUUCAUUUAAUUGAAGCAAUCUUUUCUCUCCAGCACCUUUUAAGUCAAAAUUCAAAGUUCGGAUUGCCCAAUAUGCUUUGUGUUCCAACUCAACGAGCAAAUGACAUGAUUUCCCAUAGACUAACUUAAAAGGUAGUUCCAAUGGGUGUCUUGUAAGCUAUCCUGUAUGCCCACAAUGCAUCAUCUAGUCUCAAUGACCAAUCCUUCCUUGAAUGAUUAACAAUUUUUUUCAAAAUUCUCUUCAAUUCCCUAUUAGAUACUUCAACUUGCCCACUAGUCUGAGGAUGGUAAGGUAUAGCUACCUUAUGAG